This 253-nucleotide ribosomal RNA is filed under the name uncultured bacterium. Its description in RNAcentral is "partial 16S ribosomal RNA". It matches the Rfam family "Bacterial small subunit ribosomal RNA", at positions 524 to 776 of the family's 1533-position model. The record is from RNAcentral.
UACGUAGGGUGCGAGCGUUACUCGGAAUUACUGGGCGUAAAGUGUGCGCAGGCGGCCGCGCAAGUCGAGUGUGAAAGCCCCGAGCUUAACUUGGGAAUUGCGCUCGAAACUACGUGGCUGGAGUGUGGCAGAGGAAGGUGGAAUUCCACGUGUAGCGGUGAAAUGCGUAGAGAUGUGGAGGAACACCAAUGGCGAAGGCAGCCUUCUGGGCCAACACUGACGCUCAUGCACGAAAGCGUGGGGGGCAAACAGG